This 1592-nucleotide long non-coding RNA is filed under the name Mytilus galloprovincialis (Mediterranean mussel). Lineage: Eukaryota; Metazoa; Mollusca; Bivalvia; Mytilida; Mytilidae. The record is from RNAcentral.
AAGAAAUCCCACAUAUGAUGUUCAACACUGGAUUCUGCCUUUUUUAACAGGAAUAGGGGUCUUAACCUAGAAGAAAAAGGGGUUCCAACUAUAUGUCCCCAUUCAAAUGCAUUGAUCGUCAAAAAAAGGGGGGAGUUCUAACCCCCAGAACCCUCCCACCUAGAUCCGCCACUGGGACAUAUUUUAUCCAAGGUUUGAUUUACAACAUGCUAACUUGCUAACAGUAUCAAUGAAGAUUAGUAGUGUUCAGAAAUAAACUUUGAGAACUAUACAUUGUCUUUUACUCUUAAAGUUGUCAAUAUUUUUCACUAAAAAUAUGUUGGAUAGGAUCAAUACUCUGCAGUGAUAAGAAGUAUACAAAUAAACAGAAUAAUGGUUGAAAUAGUGUGUCUAUAUGCUAUGAUGUUGAAUGACAUCUAACUAAACAAGAAAAUGAAGGUACAAUUUUGUGCCAAAUAAGCCCUAAAUUUAAUGAACUUCAAACUGAAUCUGAUUUGAAUAAAGAAUGUUGAAUAUAUGUACAUUGCAGUUGGAGUUUAACAUAUACCUUUCUAAUGAGUAAAGACAGCCACAUAUUGAUGUGAAUUCAGUUAAAUGACAAAAUCUCAUAAAGUCUUGACUAGCACAUACUUACGAAAUAACAAAGAAUUAAAAUCAUUGUUCAACAGUACAAAUUCACAAGUAACUGGAAUUUUAUUUUUAUCUAUUGACUGACAAAAAAUUAUUGUAGAUGAGCUCACUUUAACUUAGCUAGAUUGUCCGGACAGUGGCCUUUUUUGGCUAAUAACCUAUGAAAAUAAAGAUCUUGCAUGACAGCAUUUGUCAAGUCUAAUUAUGUCAGCAACACGACUUAUAUUCACUUUCUAAAAAGCUUUCCUCUAAAGUAAAAAUAAAAUUGAUAACAAAUGAAAUUUUUAUUUGAUAUGGUGAAAUUAUGGAGCAAGAAAAAGCCACAUAAUGUUCCUUCAAAUGUAAUAUCUUCAUACUUGAUGUCUUUAAGUGGCAAGAAACUCAACAUAAAAAUACAAUUAUAUGACUACAAAAUUAAAAUGAAUCUGACCCUAAUUUGAUAUAAUAUUUAUGGGAAAAAAUGUGCUAAAAGUUCAUAGUAAAAGUUACAAUAUGUAUGUUAUAUAAACAGCACCAGUGCUUGUGAUUAUUGGUCUAGAAUAUAUGUAUUUAAUCAUACUAGGGAUAUUUCUUUAAAAAAAAGUUUCAAAUGGGGGUGUUUUUAGUUAUAUGGCCAUAAGUGUUUUUAUUCUACUACUACAUUGUUCGAAUGAGUAUAUAUGUGCUUUAUAUGAAUUUUAUCUCAUUUCAUAUAAUAAUGAAUUUCAAAAUUCAGGUCAAAACCUCUCAUAGGGGAUAUUCCCUAUAAAUCAGAAUAUAACUGGUUGUUUUCCCCCCCAAAAAAAUGUACUAAUAUUUGAUCUUUUCAGCUAUGAUAAAAAGCUGGCAAUUUCACUUUAUGAUGAAUUAUGGAAAAUGAUUAUAAUUUAUGAAAUAUUAAACCUUACUGCAAUUCAUUAGGGCCAGAAAUACUUAUAUUACUUUUCUUAAAUAACCUUAAAGACUUAAUGGCUUUUUUAAUU